GAUGAAGAACGCAGCGAAAUGCGAUAAGUAGUGUGAAUUGCAGAAUUCAGUGAAUCAUCGAAUCUUUGAACGCACAUUGCGCCCGCCAGUAUUCUGGCGGGCAUGCCUGUUCGAGCGUCAUUUCAACCAUCAAGCCCCCGGCUUGUGUUGGGGACCUGCGGCUGCCGCAGGCCCUGAAAAGCAGUGGCGGGCUCGCUGUAACACCGAGCGUAGUAGCAUACAUCUCGCUCUGGGCGUGCUGCGGGUUCCGGCCGUUAAACCACCUUCAUAACCCAAGGUUGACCUCGGAUCAGGUAGGAAGACCCGCUGAACUUAAGCAUAUCAAUAAGCGGAGGA
RNAcentral lists this unclassified non-coding RNA (336 nucleotides) under soil metagenome. RNAcentral describes it as "partial contains 5.8S ribosomal RNA, internal transcribed spacer 2, and large subunit ribosomal RNA". The stretch from base 1 to 120 matches the Rfam family "5.8S ribosomal RNA", at positions 35 to 154 of the family's 154-position model. The record is from RNAcentral.